This 447-nucleotide ribosomal RNA is filed under the name uncultured bacterium. Its description in RNAcentral is "bacterial SSU rRNA". It matches the Rfam family "Bacterial small subunit ribosomal RNA", at positions 331 to 795 of the family's 1533-position model. The record is from RNAcentral.
CCAGACUCCUACGGGAGGCAGCAGUGGGGAAUAUUGCACAAUGGGGGGAACCCUGAUGCAGCGACGCCGCGUGGGUGAAGGAGCACCUCGGUGCGUAAAGCCCUAUCGGCAGGGAAGAAACAGACGGUACCUGACUAAGAAGCCCCGGCUAACUACGUGCCAGCAGCCGCGGUAAUACGUAGGGGGCGAGCGUUAUCCGGAUUCACUGUGUGUAAAGGGAGCGUAGACGGCCAUGCAAGCCAGGGGUGAAAGCCCGGGGCCCAACCCCGGGACUGCCCUUGGAACUGCAUGGCUGGAGUGCGGGAGGGGCAGGCGGAAUUCCUGGUGUAGCGGUGAAAUGCGUAGAUAUUAGGAAGAACACCAGUGGCGAAGGCGGCUUGCUGGACAGUAACUGACGUUGAGGCUCGAAAGCGUGGGGAGCAAACAGGAUUAGAUACCCUUGUAACA